Molecule: ribosomal RNA, 491 nt
Filed under: uncultured bacterium
Lineage: Bacteria
Description: partial 16S ribosomal RNA
Rfam family: Bacterial small subunit ribosomal RNA
Source: RNAcentral
AGUGAACGCUGGCGGUAGGCCUAACACAUGCAAGUCGAACGGCAGCACAGUAAGAGCUUGCUCUUACGGGUGGCGAGUGGCGGACGGGUGAGGAAUACAUCGGAAUCUACUUUUUCGUGGGGGAUAACGUAGGGAAACUUACGCUAAUACCGCAUACGACCUACGGGUGAAAGCAGGGGAUCUUCGGACCUUGCGCGAUUGAAUGAGCCGAUGUCGGAUUAGCUAGUUGGCGGGGUAAAGGCCCACCAAGGCGACGAUCCGUAGCUGGUCUGAGAGGAUGGUCACCCACACGGGAACUGAGACACGGUCCAGACCCCUACGGGAGGACGCAGGGGGGAAUUUUGGAAAAGGGGCGCAAGCCUGAUCCCGCCAUCCCGCGGGGGGAAAGAAGGCCUUCGGGUUGUAAAGCCCUUUUGUUGGGAAAGAAAAGCAGCAGGUUAAUACCCCGCUGUUCUGGCGGUACCCAAAGAAUAAGCACCGGCUAACUUCGU